RNAcentral lists this ribosomal RNA (656 nucleotides) under Comamonas sp. 70_c_1_2. RNAcentral's name for it is "bacterial SSU rRNA". It matches the Rfam family "Bacterial small subunit ribosomal RNA", at positions 65 to 718 of the family's 1533-position model. Lineage: Bacteria; Pseudomonadati; Pseudomonadota; Betaproteobacteria; Burkholderiales; Comamonadaceae. The record is from RNAcentral.
AACGGUAACAGGUCUUCGGAUGCUGACGAGUGGCGAACGGGUGAGUAAUACAUCGGAACGUGCCUAGUAGUGGGGGAUAACUACUCGAAAGAGUAGCUAAUACCGCAUGAGAUCUACGGAUGAAAGCAGGGGACCUUCGGGCCUUGUGCUACUAGAGCGGCUGAUGGCAGAUUAGGUAGUUGGUGGGGUAAAAGCUUACCAAGCCUGCGAUCUGUAGCUGGUCUGAGAGGACGACCAGCCACACUGGGACUGAGACACGGCCCAGACUCCUACGGGAGGCAGCAGUGGGGAAUUUUGGACAAUGGGCGAAAGCCUGAUCCAGCAAUGCCGCGUGCAGGAUGAAGGCCCUCGGGUUGUAAACUGCUUUUGUACGGAACGAAAAGCCUGGGGCUAAUAUCCCCGGGUCAUGACGGUACCGUAAGAAUAAGCACCGGCUAACUACGUGCCAGCAGCCGCGGUAAUACGUAGGGUGCAAGCGUUAAUCGGAAUUACUGGGCGUAAAGCGUGCGCAGGCGGUUUUGUAAGACAGUGGUGAAAUCCCCGGGCUCAACCUGGGAACUGCCAUUGUGACUGCAAAGCUAGAGUGCGGCAGAGGGGGAUGGAAUUCCGCGUGUAGCAGUGAAAUGCGUAGAUAUGCGGAGGAACACCGAUGGCGA